RNAcentral lists this ribosomal RNA (497 nucleotides) under uncultured bacterium. Its description in RNAcentral is "partial 16S ribosomal RNA". It matches the Rfam family "Bacterial small subunit ribosomal RNA", at positions 28 to 507 of the family's 1533-position model. The record is from RNAcentral.
GAUGAACGCUGGCGGCGUGCCUAAUACAUGCAAGUCGAGCGAACGGACGAGAAGCUUGCUUCUCUGAUGUUAGCGGCGGACGGGUGAGUAACACGUGGAUAACCUACCUAUAAGACUGGGAUACCUUCGGGAAACCGGAGCUAAUACCGGAUGAUAUUUUGAACCGCAUGGUUCACAAGUGAAAGACGGUCUUGCUGUCACUUAUAGAUGGAUCCGCGCUGCAUUAGCUAGUUGGUAAGGUAACGGCUUACCAAGGCAACGAUGCAUAGCCGACCUGAGAGGGUGAUCGGCCACACUGGAACUGAGACACGGUCCAGACUCCUACGGGAGGCAGCAGUAGGGAAUCUUCCGCAAUGGGCGAAAGCCUGACGGAGCAACGCCGCGUGAGUGAUGAAGGUCUUCGGAUCGUAAAACUCUGUUAUUAGGGAAGAACAUAUGUGUAAGUAACUGUGCACAUCUUGACGGUACCUAAUCAGAAAGCCACGGCUAACUACGUG